GAGGAGCCCGCGCCCGAUUAGCUUGUUGGUGAGGUAACGGCUCACCAAGGCUUCGAUCGGUAGCCGGCCUGAGAGGGCGGACGGCCACACUGGCACUGAGACACGGGCCAGACUCCUACGGGAGGCAGCAGUGGGGAAUUUUGGGCAAUGGGCGAAAGCCUGACCCAGCAACGCCGCGUGAAGGACGAAAUCCCUCCGGGAUGUAAACUUCGAAAGUCAGGAAAGAAAUCCUCGGGAUUAAUACUCCCGAGGGAUGACGGUACCUGACGUAAGCCCCGGCUAACUACGUGCCAGCAGCCGCGGUAAUACGUAGGGGGCAAGCGUUGUUCGGAAUUACUGGGCGUAAAGGGCGCGUAGGCGGCACGGCAAGUCGGGAGUGAAAGGCCUGGGCUCAACCCAGGAAUUGCUUUCGAGACUGCCGAGCUAGAGUGCGGAAGGGGCAUCUGGAAUUCCCAGUGUAGCGGUGAAAUGCGUAGAUAUUGGGAAG
RNAcentral lists this ribosomal RNA (487 nucleotides) under uncultured Acidobacteriota bacterium. RNAcentral describes it as "bacterial SSU rRNA". It matches the Rfam family "Bacterial small subunit ribosomal RNA", at positions 224 to 704 of the family's 1533-position model. Lineage: Bacteria; Pseudomonadati; Acidobacteriota. The record is from RNAcentral.